GUCGUCACUUCCUCGCGGAGCGGGCGGUGCGGCCCGGGCUGUGCGGCCCGGGCUGUGACCCAGCGGCUCGCGCGGUGGCGCGCAGGGCCCUGCAGCCAGCCGCCCCGCCCGCGCCCCCGGCUCCGCGCGCCCCUGGCCCCAGGCGCCGUCUCCCCACUCUGCGCGCCCUCGGCUGCGGGGUAGCGGGCAGCCCUGCGCUGCCGGCCGCCUAGCCUGCACCCCCCGCCCUGGGAGGGAAGCCUCGCUCCAGCCGCGUCGUUUCCGCGCCGAAGUGCGAUCCGGGGCCCCGCGCUGGAGUCCCCUGCUCUCAGGCUGGUCUGGAAGGUGGCAGUUGCUGGAGUACCAGGGCACCAAGUGGAGGAUGUGGUAGACAGCCUCUAAGAUGCGCCCCCUGCCAAUGAUCUCUGCCUCCAGGGAGGAGCUAGAAGGCAGAGAGAAAGCCACUCAGGACUUCCCAUCCCAGAAGAUAAAGGUGAGGAAAGCAGCAGCAGCAGCCACAGGCCAGUAUUCCAGAGCAGCUUUGGGUUCCUGUCAAGACCUGCUUUGAGAAGGAGGUGGCUGUGGGGCUGGAGGGCUGGGCCUGUUCCUGAGCUGGCUGCUGGCAGCACAGCAAUGAGGCAACAUUGAGAACUGCGACACGAGGCCCAGUCCUGCUACUAAACCAACUGUGUGGACUUGCAUAGUCACUUCACCCCUCGGGCCUCCAUUUCUCCACUUUGGAAAGCAGUGUUGGGACGAUGUUAAGGGUUUGCAACCUUCCAACAUGAAGACUUAUUUUUAAAAGCAAAACAUUUCAAAGAGUCCACAUGACAGUAGUGUUCAUUUUGGCAUCUGUUGAUUUAACAAAUACAAAAUUAGGCUGGGUGUAGUUGCUAACGCCUGUAAUUCCAGCACUUUGGGAGACCGAGGCAGGAGGAUCACCUGAAAUCAGGAGUUCGAGACCAGCCUGGCCAACAUGGUGGAACUCCAUCACUACCAAAAAUACAAAAAUUAGCUGGGCUUGGUGGCACGUGCCUGUAAUCCCAGCUACUCGGGAGGCUGAGGCAGGAGAAUCAUUUGAACCCGGGAGGCAGAGGUUGCAGUGACCUGAGAUUGCACCACUGUACUCCAGCCUGGGCAACAGGGCAAGACUCCAUUAAAAAAAAAAAUACAAAAUUAGGCAUGGUGGUGUUCGUCUGUAGUCCCAUCUAUUUGAGAGGUUAAGGCGGGAGGAUCACUUGAGCUCAGGAGUUUGAGUUUGCAGUGAGCUGUGGUCUGCCUGU
This 1262-nucleotide long non-coding RNA is filed under the name Homo sapiens (human). RNAcentral's name for it is "non-protein coding lnc-PTGR2-1:4". The record is from RNAcentral. Lineage: Eukaryota; Metazoa; Chordata; Mammalia; Primates; Hominidae.